UUUCAGAUCACAGCAUUACAAGCACUACUGACUCUCCACCGCACAAUAUCUGACCAUCUAUUCAGAGCACGACCUGCAUUUUUCUCAGCAGCUGAACACCUGUUUUUGGAUUUUCUCAAAGCAGCAGUUCUUCUGUAUUGUUCUUCCCAAUCAUUAAACCCAACCCACCCUUUCCCUCCCC
Long non-coding RNA from Carassius gibelio (silver crucian carp), 181 nucleotides. RefSeq lists it as uncharacterized. The record is from RefSeq and is a predicted model, not a curated record. Lineage: Eukaryota; Metazoa; Chordata; Actinopteri; Cypriniformes; Cyprinidae. The transcript has 3 exons.